Molecule: long non-coding RNA, 560 nt
Organism: Quercus robur (English oak)
Lineage: Eukaryota; Viridiplantae; Streptophyta; Magnoliopsida; Fagales; Fagaceae
Exons: 2
Source: RefSeq, a predicted model, not a curated record
UUUGUUUAAAAUAGCCCUUCUAUUUCAACCUCACCUUUAAUUUCUUUCAUAUAUUUCUUCAAGGAACGUGUUAUUGGGUAAUUUCUUUCACAUAUUUCUUCAAUGAACGCGUGAUCAUUUAAAUCAAGAAGAAGGAAAAAAAUGCCACAGGCACGUAGCCAUGCAAAGGCUUACUGUGGUGGAAACACAUGCCCAUUGCUCCAUCCUCUAAAACAGCCCUUUUCCUUCCACAAAAAAGCCUCCGUCUGCUUCAAAUAUCAAAUAGCUUUUGACCACCACGUUCACAUGAAGCAGACUUGAAGUGUAGUGAAACUCAAAACCACCACGUUCACAUGAAGAGACUUGAAGUGUAGUGUAACUAAAAACCACAACGUUCACAUUAAGCAGACUUGAAGUGUACUGAAACUCAAAAUUUCUGGGGUUGCACCUCUUUUAACCAUCACGUUCAGCCUCUUUGCUGACUUAAACCGAUUCAAAUAUAUAUAUUUUAUUUGUAUACGCAUAAGUUUGUUUUUAUUUGAUUACGAUAUUAUGGUAGAUUUUGAUUUAUAUUUGGUUUC